RNAcentral lists this ribosomal RNA (621 nucleotides) under Leuconostoc mesenteroides. RNAcentral's name for it is "bacterial SSU rRNA". It matches the Rfam family "Bacterial small subunit ribosomal RNA", at positions 19 to 622 of the family's 1533-position model. Lineage: Bacteria; Bacillati; Bacillota; Bacilli; Lactobacillales; Lactobacillaceae. The record is from RNAcentral.
CUGGCUCAGGAUGAACGCUGGCGGCGUGCCUAAUACAUGCAAGUCGAACGCACAGCGAAAGGUGCUUGCACCUUUCAAGUGAGUGGCGAACGGGUGAGUAACACGUGGACAACCUGCCUCAAGGCUGGGGAUAACAUUUGGAAACAGAUGCUAAUACCGAAUAAAACUUAGUGUCGCAUGACACAAAGUUAAAAGGCGCUUCGGCGUCACCUAGAGAUGGAUCCGCGGUGCAUUAGUUAGUUGGUGGGGUAAAGGCCUACCAAGACAAUGAUGCAUAGCCGAGUUGAGAGACUGAUCGGCCACAUUGGGACUGAGACACGGCCCAAACUCCUACGGGAGGCUGCAGUAGGGAAUCUUCCACAAUGGGCGAAAGCCUGAUGGAGCAACGCCGCGUGUGUGAUGAAGGCUUUCGGGUCGUAAAGCACUGUUGUAUGGGAAGAACAGCUAGAAUAGGAAAUGAUUUUAGUUUGACGGUACCAUACCAGAAAGGGACGGCUAAAUACGUGCCAGCAGCCGCGGUAAUACGUAUGUCCCGAGCGUUAUCCGGAUUUAUUGGGCGUAAAGCGAGCGCAGACGGUUUAUUAAGUCUGAUGUGAAAGCCCGGAGCUCAACUCCGGAAUG